RNAcentral lists this ribosomal RNA (601 nucleotides) under Scenedesmus sp. NCP-2-1. Its description in RNAcentral is "eukaryotic LSU rRNA". The stretch from base 159 to 312 matches the Rfam family "5.8S ribosomal RNA". The record is from RNAcentral. Lineage: Eukaryota; Viridiplantae; Chlorophyta; Chlorophyceae; Sphaeropleales; Scenedesmaceae.
GCGGUUAUAGCACACACACGCACUACCUAUUUGUGUACCGACGUUAGGUCAACACACGCAAGUGUGUGGCCUACUAACCUACACACCAUUGACCAACCAAUAAUCAAACCAAACUCUGAAGCUUUGGCUGCUGUUAAUCGGCAGUUUUAACAAAGAACAACUCUCAACAACGGAUAUCUUGGCUCUCGCAACGAUGAAGAACGCAGCGAAAUGCGAUACGUAGUGUGAAUUGCAGAAUUCCGUGAACCAUCGAAUCUUUGAACGCAUAUUGCGCUCGACCCCCCGGGGAAGAGCAUGUCUGCCUCAGCGUCGGUUUACACCCUCACCCCACUUACUUCACAGUAAGCGCUUGCUGCGUUGUAUGACCAGCAACUGGGAUGGAUCUGGCCCUCCCAAUUGAAGCAAUUCGAUUGGGUUGGCUGAAGCACAGAGGCUUAAACUGGGACCCGUACCGGGCUCAACUGGAUAGGUAGCAACACCUUCGGGUGCCUACACGAAGUUGUGUCUGAGGACCUGGUUAGGAGCCAAGCAGGAAACAUGGAAACAUGUACUCUGUAUUCGACCUGAGCUCAGGCAAGGCUACCCGCUGAAUUUAAACCAA